Corticium candelabrum is the source of this 255-nucleotide long non-coding RNA. RefSeq lists it as uncharacterized. Lineage: Eukaryota; Metazoa; Porifera; Homoscleromorpha; Homosclerophorida; Plakinidae. The transcript has 5 exons. The record is from RefSeq and is a predicted model, not a curated record.
CAAAGGGUCCAACGAUAUUUAUUCAAACUGAUAAGCCGGUUUACAAGCCUGGACAAACAGUUCGAAUGAGAAUUGUUGCCCUCGAUUUCGAAAUGAAACCUUACAAAGGAAACGUAACAAUAGAGAUAUCGGAUGGUCAUGGUACUAAAGUUCAACAAUGGAUAGACAAAUCGCCGCUCACAGGAAUUGUUCCUUUAUCGUUUCCAUUGUCCGACGAGCCAGUUGCUGGAGUUUGGAACGUUUCGGUAUUCGCAC